GUGAAUCAUCAAAUCUUUGAACGCAAAUUGCACUCUCUUCGGUGAGUAUGCCUGUUUGAGGGUCAGCCUAAAAAAAAAUCGACAUCGUCGCUGUUUCGCGGUGAUAUUCGUCGGAAAUUGGGUCAAUUUAAACCUUUGGGUUUUAAGAGGCUUAAAAUUUUAUUUAUGAUUUCACGAACGUUUGUAAGUUUUACUUCUUAUACGUUUAAGGUAUCGAUCUUUAUUAGACGUGGCCGUUGCAUCGGAACUCGUCAAUGAAU
RNAcentral lists this unclassified non-coding RNA (260 nucleotides) under Glomus sp. RNAcentral's name for it is "partial contains 5.8S ribosomal RNA and internal transcribed spacer 2". The stretch from base 1 to 65 matches the Rfam family "5.8S ribosomal RNA", at positions 84 to 154 of the family's 154-position model. Lineage: Eukaryota; Fungi; Glomeromycota; Glomeromycetes; Glomerales; Glomeraceae. The record is from RNAcentral.